AUAUCUUUCUGUGAUGUGCAGUUCCUGUUUGGUAGAUAUUUGGGCACUUCAGCUGUUGUGUAGACCUUUUCAGCCAAGCGAAUAUUUUGAAUAUAUGUGCACAUAAGAUCAAUCAUGAUAGAGGGAGUAAAUCAACCAGCAUAGGAUCUACUUUUGGUGGACUGAUGGGCAGAGUUCAGCAGCCAAUAGCUAAUCAUCAACCCAGAAUGCUCUUGGGUACAACGGCAUUAAUACUCUUGAAAGUGUUAAAGAAUGCAUGAGUAUGAAGUUGACAAGAUUUUCCCCUGGCCUUGGAUUUCGCCUUCCUGGUGAGCGCGGCGAAGGCAACCACAUGGGAGGUGACAUUGGAGUCGUCACCUUCGGUCAAGUUGUACGGGGACCAGGAAGCGAGGAUAUGCUGCGAUGGCCUUGAAGAGCUACGUGUGAGUUCGGCCAGGGGAAGACCGACGUGAGUUUGGAGUAGAGACAGCGGCCAGUGAGCUGGACUCCCGUUUUCCAAGACAUUUGAGACGAGGUGUUUGAGAAUAAUCCAAGGAGGUUGCACAACAUAAUAAAUCCAUGUGAUACUUGAAUCUGCAAGCUCUAGGUUUUGAUCAGACCGAGGUAUGUAAGCAUGAAAGAGGACUGGUGUUGAUGCUGGAUAUAAGCGAGUCACAAUUGUUCAUUGCAAGUCACCAGAUCUAAACCUAUAAUCUCUUAGCUACAUCUUUUCUGGAACAUUGUUGAACUAUUUUCAAGUUUGAAUAGACUACUGUAAGCAGUUUUUAAAUUCGACUUUGUUCAUUUAAGGAAGCAGGUUGGUUUCAUAAAAAAAUAAGAGUGGGGCUUUGUCUGCUUUGAUAAUAUGAUCGUUCACUUCAUUCUAUCUUGCUGUUUUUAAAGUCGUGGAUUUUUCACCAUCCUUUUCGUGGAAACUUGGUACUCUGUACAUUAUGUUAUGCAUCUACUAUGCAGAUACUUGUGUCAUAAAUUGCUUUUAUCCGCCU
Molecule: long non-coding RNA, 986 nt
Organism: Lolium rigidum
Lineage: Eukaryota; Viridiplantae; Streptophyta; Magnoliopsida; Poales; Poaceae
Exons: 5
Source: RefSeq, a predicted model, not a curated record